CCCUUAGAUGUCCUGGGCCGCACGCGCGCUACACUGAUGCAUUCAACGAGUUUCACCUUGGCCGAGAGGCCUGGGCAAUCUUUUAAACCCGCAUCGUGAUAGGGAUAGAUUAUUGCAAUUAUUAAUCUUGAACGAGGAAUUCCUAGUAAACGCAAAUCAUCAAUUUGCAUUGAUUACGUCCCUGCCCUUUGUACACACCGCCCGUCGCACCUACCGAUUGGAUGGUCCGGUGAAGCCUCGGGAUUGUGGUUCUUGCCGCUUUAUUGUGGCGUGACCGCGAGAACUUGUCUAAACCUUAUCAUCUAGAGGAAGGUGAAGUCGUAACA
This 326-nucleotide ribosomal RNA is filed under the name uncultured eukaryote. RNAcentral's name for it is "partial 18S ribosomal RNA". It matches the Rfam family "Eukaryotic small subunit ribosomal RNA", at positions 1470 to 1796 of the family's 1831-position model. The record is from RNAcentral.